AUCCACCUGACGAGUCCCAAAUAGGACGAA
RNAcentral lists this non-coding RNA (30 nucleotides) under Trichobilharzia regenti. The record is from RNAcentral. Lineage: Eukaryota; Metazoa; Platyhelminthes; Trematoda; Strigeidida; Schistosomatidae.